This 12391-nucleotide long non-coding RNA is filed under the name Citrus x clementina. The record is from RNAcentral. Lineage: Eukaryota; Viridiplantae; Streptophyta; Magnoliopsida; Sapindales; Rutaceae.
AUCAAAACAAAAAUGAGAAAUUCCGCAAUUCUAUAGGGUUGAAUAAAAAUUCGAUUGAUUUUUUUUGUAGUAUGCUUUUUACUUUUUCUUUAUGUUUUUUUUGUCAAAGAUAAGGGUCAUGUCUUAUCUUUUACUUUUAGAGGCUCUAUAUAAGAGCUCUCAAGUCUUUGUAUUCGGUAGAACAUCUUCAAUAAAAAUUUGAAAGCUUGAACCAGUCAAGAUAUAAUAUAGUGGUCAUAUCGUUGUAGCAACUGAAAUUUGCAUAACAUAAAAACCCAAUCUGAUUGUAGGUUGUGAAGUUCGAAGUUGUGAAAGAAAAUCGAAAAGCAUGCGGAUAAAUGGAAGGAUGAGAGAAAGAGAGAAAGAAAAUAUCAAUGAUAUAAGAUUCCAAUAUGUAAGGUCUGUAAGUCAUCUCAUAAAAAACAGUGUAAUAUAGCAUCAAUACUGAUUCAUCCCUAACUAGAUGAAUCCGCUCAUGGAACAAAAAAAAUCAAGAGCCCCGAGCCAAUAAAAACUGAGAAAAUUGACUUAAGAAAAAAUUUCAUUAAGGGCUCCGUUGGAGAAUUCAGACCUAACCAUUAAUCGAGAAGCAAUGGGAACGACGGAACCCGUGAAUAAAGAAAAAGAAGAUUCUAUUGGAAAUGAAUCUUAAUGAUUUAUUGGGUGGGAUGGCGAAACGAACCCAGGAACUAAACUAUUCUUUUAUUCGUAGAGGUCAUGAACUAACCCUACAACUGAAAUAGAUAUUGAAAGAGUAAAUAUUCGCCCGCGAAAGGUUUAUUUUUUGAUUUUAUUGGAUUGAUUCAUUUUGAUCGAUCCGAUAUGGUAAAGGGCAAAACAAAAUAAAGAUUUGUUAUAACGAUAAAAAAAAAAAGACAUUGAGAUUAUCUAUAAAUAGAACAUAAAUGUUUCAAUUCUAUAUCUAAACAUGAUAUACAAAUUUAGAAUAGAUUAAUUAGAUGAACUUUCAAAAAAUCCUAUGCUUCAGUAUAUUAUUCAUUAAAUUCCCCUAUAUCUUGAUAAAAUCGUUUUUAGUCCUUUCAUUCGCGAGGAGCUGGAUGAGAAGAAACUCUCAUGUCCAGUUCUGUAGUAGAGAUGGCAUUGAGAAAGAACCAUCAAUUAUAACCCCAAAAGAACAAGAUUCCGUAAACAACAUAGAGGAAGAAUGAAAGGGAUAUCUUAUCGAGGUAAUCAUAUUUGUUUCGGCAGAUAUGCUCUUCAAGCACUUGAACCCGCUUGGAUCACAUCUAGACAAAUCGAAGCGGGGCGCCGCGCAAUGACACGAAAUGUACGGCGCGGUGGAAAAAUAUGGGUACGUAUCUUUCCAGACAAACCAGUUACACUAAGACCCACGGAAACCCGUAUGGGGUCCGGUAAAGGAUCCCCCGAAUAUUGGGUAGCCGUCGUUAAACCGGGUAGAAUACUUUAUGAAAUGAGUGGAGUAGCUGAAAUAUAGCUCGAAAGGCUAUUUCAAUAGCGGCGUCCAAAAUGCCUAUAAGAACUCAAUUCAUUAUUUCGGGAUAGGAAUGUCGAAACAAAGGAAAUAAAUCUUGGGUAUAAAAAAUGCGGGUCUUUUUUUUUUUUUUUUUCUUUUUUUUUUUACUUUUUACUUCGUCCUUUCAGUGCUUUACUUUAAAUUAAACAUUAAAAAAACGGACUCAAAAAACGAUAUGAUUCAACCUCAAACCCAUUUGAAUGUAGCAGACAAUAGCGGUGCCCGAGAAUUGAUGUGUAUUCGAAUCAUAGGAGCCAGUAAUCGUAGAUAUGCUCAUAUUGGUGACGUUAUUGUUGCUGUGAUCAAGGAAGCAGUACCCAAUACGCCUCUAGAAAGAUCAGAAGUGAUCAGAGCUGUAUUGUACGUACUUGUAAAGAACUCAGACGUGAUAACGGUAUGAUAAUACGGUACGAUGACAAUGCUGCAGUUGUCAUUGAUCACGAAGGAAAUCCAAAGGGAACUCGAGUUUUUGGUGCGAUCGCCCGGGAAUUGAGACAGUUGAAUUUUACUAAAAUAGUUUCAUUAGCACCUGAAGUAUUAUAAGAGGGGACCGCGAUAUAGUGAUAGUAUGAAAGAAAAUAAAAUAGAUAAAUCAAAAUUUAGUAGAGUAUGUCUCACGCAUAUACUUUUAAUAAUUUUCAUAAAAAAAAGAACAUGUUGAUUAUAUCAAAAUUUGGAAGCAACAAAAUUUUCAGUUUAUCAUGGGCAAGGACACUAUUGCUGACAUAAUAACUUCUAUACGAAAUGCUGACAUGAAUAGAAAGGGAACGGUUCGAAUAGCAUCUACUAACAUCACCGAAAACGUUGUUAAAAUCCUUUUGCGAGAGGGUUUUAUCGAAAACGCAAGGAAACUCGUGGAAAACAAAAAAGAGUUUUUGGUUUUAACCCUACGACAUCGAAGGAAUAGGAAAGGGCCGUAUAGACCCAUUUUAAAUUUAAAACGAAUCAGUCGACCCGGUCUACGAAUCUAUUUUAACUAUCGACGAAUUCCUAGAAUUUUAGAUGGGAUGGGGAUUGUAAUUCUCUCUACUUCUCGGGGUAUAAUGACAGACCGAGCGGCUCGACUGGAAAGAAUCGGUGGAGAAAUUUUGUGUUAUAUAUGGUAAUUAUUCUGCUAUCCGAAUUGUAUUUGGAGCUUACUUUUAUGUUGUGAGAAAAAAAAAAAGGGGAGGAUUCCUCGAGGUUUAAUUACCGAAUAACUUACCAAAGGUAUGCUCCGGGUUCUUUUAGAUAGUUUAGAGAGCGAAGUAAGAUUCUAGAUUAUGUUUCAGGAGGGAUGCGACCCGUUUUUCUACAUCUACUCCCGGUGGCUAGAGGCAAAAUUGAAGGAAGUCGUUAUGAUUCAGAUUCAACUGGAGGAUAUAAUAAUAAUAUAUAGACUACACAAAAGGAUUUGAGUGAUUAGGUGAUUUUUCAACAUUCCUUUCAGGGGGAUACAAAUCGCGGUUCAAAAAUUUCAAGAAACUUAUUUUCUUCCAACUUCCAAUAAGUAGAUUCGAAAUUCAUUUAAGGAAUAACAAUUAUGAAAAUAAGGGCUUCAGUUCGUAAAAUUUGUGAAAAAUGUCGACUGAUCCGCAGGAGGGGACGGAUUAUAGUAAUUUGUUCCAACCCGAGACAUAAACAAAGACAAGGAUAAUCUUUCGAAAAGUUUAGAAAGUAACCGAUGAACAAAUCAACAUAAAAGAUCGGUUUUGACAUGAAAUGGAUAUAUCCAUAUAUCUCUGACUUAUAUUUAUGAAAUGAUCAAAUAUGGCAAAAUCUCCACCACGAAGUGGUUCACGUAGGCCGGGACGGAUCGGUUCACGUAAAAGUGGACGUCGAAUACCAAAGGGCGUUAUUCAUGUUCAGCAAGUUUCAACAACACCAUUGUGACUGUUACAGAUGUCCGGGGUCGGGUAAUUUCUUGGUCCUCGGCCGGUACUUGUGGAUUCAGGGGUACAAGAAGAGGUACGCCUUUUGCUGCUCAAACCGCAGCAGGAAAUGCUAUUCGAGCAGUAGCGGAUCAAGGUAUGCAACGAGCAGAAGUCAUGAUAAAGGGUCCUGGUCUCGGAAGAGAUGCGGCAUUACGAGCUAUUCGUAGAAGCGGUAUCCUUUUAAAUUUCGUACGGGAUGUAACCCCUAUGCCACACAAUGGUUGCAGACCCCCUAAAAAAAGACGGGUGUAGAAAUAAACAUUGAAGAGAUUUCAAGAGAAAUAAAUGACUCAAUGAUCUGACAAAUAAUAUUACUAUGGUUCGAGAGAAAGUAAAAGUAUCUACUCGGACACUGCAGUGGAAGUGUGUGAAUCAAGAGCAGACAGUAAGCGUCUUUAUUAUGGGCGCUUUAUUUUGUCUCCACUUAUGAAAGGUCAAGCCGACACAAUAGGCAUUGCGAUGCGAAGAGUUUUGCUUGGAGAAAUAGAAGGAACAUGUAUUACACGCGCAAAAUCUGAGAAAAUCCCACACGAAUAUUCUACCAUAGUGGGUAUUCAAGAAUCGGUACAUGAAAUUUUAAUGAAUUUGAAAGAUAUUGUAUUGAGAAGUAAUCUUUAUGGAACUUGUGACGCGCUUAUUUGUGUCAAAGGCCCGGGAUAUGUAAAUCCUCUUGCCGCCUUCUGUGGAAAUCGUUGAUAAUACGCAGCACAUAGCACAUAGCUAGCCUAAUUGAUUUGUCUAUUGGAUUACAAAUCGAGAGGAGUCGAGGAUAUAAUAUAAAAACGCCAAAUACCUUUCAAGACGGAAAUUGUUAUCCUAUCGAUGCUGUAUUCAUGCCUGUUCGAAAUGCGAAUCAUAGUAUUCAGUCUUAUGGGAAUGGCAAUGAAAAACAAGAGAUCCUUUUUCUAGAAAUAUGGACAAACGGAAGUUUAACUCCUAAAGAAGCACUUCGUGAAGCCUCCCGGAGUUUGAUUGAUUUAUUUAUUCCCUUUCUCCAGGCAGAAGACGAAAACUUACCUUUAGAGAACAAUCAAUACAAGGUUACUUUACCCUUUUUUACUUUUCAUGAUAGAUUGGCUAAACUAACGAAAAAGAAAAAAGAAAUCGCAUUGAAAUCGAUUUUUAUUGACCAAUCAGAAAUGUCUCCCAGGAUCUAUAAUUGUCUCAAAAGUCCAAUAUACAUACAUUAUUCGACCUUUUGAAUACGCGUCAAGAAGACCUUAUGAAAAUUGAACACUUUCGCAUAGAGGAUGUAAAGCAGAUAAUGAGUAUUCUAGAAAAGAAAUAGAAAAGCAUUUCACAAUUGAUUUACCGAAAAAAAAAAAAUUUAAAUCAAUUGAAUUUAGUGCAAUUUUUCUAUUCUUUAGAAAAAAAAAAAAAAAAAACGCGAAAAUUGAAAUGGCUUUGCACCUUUAGACCCGUCUAUAUAUUCAGACCGGAAUUAAAUUGAAUAGAAGUAUCUAGGGAGAAUUCACUUUGACUUUGAAGUGACUACUCCCUAGAUACACACGUCAUGAUAUUUUACAAUUGAAUCAAUUUAAAAAAGACCUAAAGUUAGGGAUUUUUCAAUAGGUAAUGUUGCUCCAAUACCCAAGCACAAGGCCACUGCGGUACCAAUCAAAAAGACGGUUGUCGCUACGGGACGGCGAAAUGGAUUUUGGAAUUUAUUAACAUUUUCCAAAAAGGUACUGUUAAUAAUCCCGUAGGUACUGAAACCAUUAAAAGAACACCCAACAGCUUAUUGGGUACUGUACGAAGUAUUUGAAUACGGGAAAGAAAUACCAUUCGGGUAAGAUUUCCAAAGGAGUUGCAAAUGGAUCCGCGGGUUCACCAAUCAUUGAUGGUUCUAGAACCGCUAAGCCUACGGUACAUGCAAUAGUACCUAGAAUUACUACUGGAAAAAUAUAUAAAAGAUCGUUGGGCCAUGCGGGUUCUCCAUAAUAAUUAUGACCCAUACCCUUAGCCAACUUAGCCCUUAAUACAGGAUCAUUCAAGUCAGGUUUUUUUGUUAUUGGGAUAGGCGAAUUCUUAUAGAUCCAUCCCCCCAAAGAACCGGACAUGAUAAUUUUUCAUCAUCCGGCUCGAGCAAGAAUCAACCAAACUAAAAGGAUACAUAUAAAAAAAGAAAUAGAUAAAAAAAGAAAUAUAGAUUUUCGAAAAUCUAUAUUUUACGCAUAUCGGGAUGAUUCUAUAUGUAAAAUUACCGGAUUCCGUUUUACGAAGUUGCAACUAUCAAUUGCAAGGAAUUCGGUUCUUACAGGUGUAUGCUCCAUACCCAAGUAGGCUUACAAAAUUGAUCAUGAUCAAGAGCUUUCUGGGUCGUCUCAGCCCUUGUGAUUCACCCUUAUCCAAAAACAACAAAAAAAAAAUUGAGCUGAUAUUUUUCUUUUUCGCGUACAAAGGAUUUACUUGUUACUAAUAUAGUAUAGCCGCUGCUCUUCUUUAGACCCCUUGUUUCACUCCGAUAGUAUCAUAAAUCGGGAUCGGUGCAGAAGAAAUGAAUGCAUUUCCAUACUAUUAAGUAAGUAAUCUAGAAUCUAGCUAAACAUAAUCUAGAUUAUGCCACAUCGCUUAUUCUACUGGAUCUUACGGAGCCUGCUCAUGCGCGGCAUGCUUGGGGCUGAUCAUAGAAAAGAUUCUUUUCAAUCGAACCAACCUAUCCUCUCUAUGGGGUGCCGGUUGGAACAAAGACACAUUUGGUCGCGAAUUCCAAUGUAGCAGAUUAAAGACAUAUUUCUGCACGGCCCAAUCAAUAGUUCAAGUCACACACUCCCAUAAUCCAUUUUCUCUUCGGAGAAUUCCCGUCAACUAUUCAUUUCAUUCAUGUCAAAUAAAAAGUCCAAUAUUAUGGAGUUGAGGGGAAAUUUCCAACUCCAUGUCUUAUUCUUUGUCAAUAAUCCAUAUUGUAGCAAUGAAAUAUUAUUGUUCCUCCCCCAAGCAAUAAGAUAAAGGGUUGAUUACAAAUCGCUAUAAUCUAGAUUUUGUAUAAUUUUAUAAAGGGCCAGAAAUACCUUGUUUACGUAUCAUUAGGAAAUGCAUUAACAUAAAUACGGCAGUAAGAAGAGGUAAUACAAAAGUGUGUAAACUAUAAAAACGAGUCAAAGUGGACUGUCCCACACUAGCACUUCCGCGUAAUAACUCUACCAAAGGCGAUCCUAUUACCGGAAUUGCUUCGGGCACGCCUGUUACAAUUUUUACUGCCCAAUAUCCAAUUUGGUCCCAAGGUAAAGAAUAACCUGUUACACCAAAAGAUGCGGUCAAUACAGCCAGAACCACACCUGUAACCCAAGUCAAUUCGCGGGGUUUUUUAAACCCCCGGUGAGAUACACGCGAAAUACGUGCAGGAUUGUCAUUAGGACCAUCAUACUUGCCGACCAUCGAUGAACCGAUCGAAUUAACCACCCGAAGUUAACUUCCGUCAUUAUGUAUUGAACAGAGGCAAAAGCCUCAGUAACGGUCGGGCGGUAGUAAAAAGUCAUAGCAACCCUGUAGCUACUUGUACUAAAAAACAAGUGAGCGUAAUUCCUCCCAGACAAUAAAAUAUGUUGACAUGAGGAGGAACGUAUUUACUAGUUAUAUCAUCUGCAUCGCCUGAAUCUCGAGACGUUCUUCGAACCAAUCGUAGACUUUAUUGAGAUAGGUAAACCAAGAGAACUCCCCUCUGAGAACCGUAUAUGAGAAUUUUAUCUCGUACGGCUCAACAAAACCACCCCAAUACUGGUAUGGAAUAUAAAAUUGGAAACUUCUUAAUUUUUUGAUUCAAUCUUAUCUAAAAAUACGAAAGAAUCAAAAUAAGAAAGCUUUUCUUGUGGUUAUAAUUAGAAUGCCAAAAAAUCAAGUCGACGCGCUUAUCUUUAUGUUGAUCGUUACAGGCCUCUUGAAUCUUCUAUUUACCUAUUUCAUUUUCUUUGAUUUGUUAUUUUGAGUUGUAUGUAAUGCAGCUUGACUUUUGUUUCUUUAUUAUUGAUAGGAAUUUUCUUGUUAAGACCCUAUGAAUCAAUUGAAACCUCAGAUUCAUACUAGAACCACGAUGAUUCAAUAAAACCUUCAAACUAAGUCCAAAGAUUCCAUGAGUAAGAAUCCUUGGAUCAUCAUUUAUUCAAGUUUGUGCUUGAGUAAAAUAAAAGCAGAAAUGGGGAAUUGAAAGAAGAAAAAUCUUGCAAUUGCAAAUUUUGUCUUUGGAAAAUUUUUUGAAUCCGGCCAAGGGGUCUGAAUAUUAAGUAUGAAUCAUAGUUCGAAUACUUCGUGAUCUAUUUCAUAUAUUCCGUGCUCCAGAUACUCGAAUGAAUAUCCGACGGAGUAAAGCCAUCUCGAUCAGACGACAGAUCUAUGCUCUGUACUAUCAAUAGGAUCAAUUCGAACAAGUCGCACACUCAUAUUCCGGAAAUACAGAAAUAAAAAAUUCGCGGUCGAACUACCAAUCAACUAAAAUCAAAAUCCGAUACCUAAAUGCUUAUUAAAAGGUAGUAUUUUGUGAUUCUGUAAAUUUCAUUCUAAUUCAGUGAAAUUCCGUCCAGUAAAACGGACGAAUUAUAAAUCUCCAAAAUAAUAGAUAGGAAUACCGCAAAUAAAGCCAUUGCGACUCCCAUCAAAGGAGUAGUUCCCCAUCCAGGAGCUACUUUACCAUAUUCCGAAUUCAAGGGUUUCAACAAGCCCCCUGCAGAAGUUCUUUUGGACGAGCUCUAGAACUACCCUCAACUGUUUGUGUAGCCAUAAAUCCUAUUUUGUAUUGAUUGAGAUCUGUUGACUUUGUAUACCAUUCCGUGUAAAUAAACGAUCUUAUCAUGGAUCCAGUGUGGUCUUGAAAUUCUAUAAUAAUGGAAACAGCAACCCUAGUCGCCAUCUCUAUAUCUGGGUUACUUGUAAGUUUUACUGGGUACGCCUUAUAUACUGCUUUUGGGCAACCCUCUCAACAACUAAGAGAUCCAUUCGAGGAACACGGGGACUAGUUGAAGUAGAAGUAACGGGCCUCCCGAUAUUGGGAGGCCCAUUACUUCAUUGAGAUAAAAAAAAAAUCAUUUUGUUUUUUUAGUUGGAACUUUAGGCGGUUCUCGAAAAAAGAUAGCGAAAAAAAUGAUCCCUAGAGUCGAGACUAAGAGGAAUGUAUAAACCAAUGCUUCCAUAAAUUCGAUCGUGGUUUCCAAUUAUAGCUUCCAUACCUGUUUAUUGGGAUCAUCCCCCGGAUUAAAGAAAAAAAGAAUCAAAAAGGGCGGCGAUUUAAAUCCAUAUUUCUCCAGUACCUUAUACCUUAUUUUAAAUAAAAAGCACAAAUCGAAAAUAGAAGCAGAAGCGAGAAACUAAAAUAGUAGAGCAAUGCUGCAUCAGACUACUUGUCUUCUUGUAGUUGGAUCUCCAAGUUUUUGGAAUACUCCAAAUUCCACUUGAGCGUCCAAAUCCGGGUCAAUACCAGCAAAAACAUCUCUGAACAAGGUUCUAGCACCAUGCCAAAUGUGUCCGAAGAAGAAAAGCAGAGCAAAUGAAGCGUGUCCAAACGUAAACCAGCCCCUUGGGCUGCUACGAAAAACACCAUCGGAUUCAAAGUAGCACGAUCUAAUUCAAAAAUUUCACCCAAUUGAGCACGUCUAGCAUAUUUUUCACAGUAGCAGGAUCACUAUAACUCACGCCAUUCAGCUCGCCACCAUAGAACUCAACGGUUACACCUACUUGUUCGACACUAUACUUCGAUUCUGCCCUUCGAAAAGGAACGUCGGCUCUAACAAUUCCAUCUCCGUCUACCAAAACAACUGGAAAUGUUCAAAAAAAGUAGGCAUACGACGUACAAAAAGUUCACGCCCUUCUUUAUCUCUAAAUAUAGGGUGUCCUAACCACCCGACAGCUAUUCCAUCCCCGUUAUCCAUGAACCCGCUCUGAAUAAUCCCCCUUUCGCAGGAUUAUUCCGAUGUAAUCAUAAAAAGCUAAUUUUUCAGGAAUUUUAGACCAAGCUUCUGAUAAACUUUGAUUUCGGCUAGUCCAGCACUGACUCUUCGAUAUAUUUCUUGCUGAAGUAUCCCUGAUCCCAUUGAUAACGGGUGGGACCAAAUAAUUCGAUGGGGGUAGUUGCUGACCCAUACCACAUAGUUCCAGCAACAACAAACGCUGCAAAAAAGACAGCAGCGAUGCUGCUGGAAAGAACGGUUUCAAUAUUGCCCAUACGUAAUCCUUUGUAUAAGCGUUGUGGCGGGCGGACGCUGAGAUGGAAUAAGCCUGCUAAUAUGCCCAAUGUCCCUGCCGCAAUAUGAUGAGAGGCUAUCCUCCUGGAACAAAAGGAUCAAAACCUUCCACACCCCAUGCUGGAUUUAUAGAUUGUACCUUUCCAGUUAGUCCAUACGGAUCAGACACCCAUAUUCCAGGACCAUACAAUCCUGUUACAUGAAAUGUCCCAAAACCAAAGCAAGCCACUCCUGAGAGAAAUAAAUGAAUUCCAAAGAUUUUAGGCAAAUCCAAAGAACGUUUCCUGUACGGUCAUCAACAAAUAUUGCUAGAUCCCAAUACACCCAAUGCCAGAUAGCUGCCAAGAAGCACAAUCCGGAAAACACAAUAUGUGCCCCCGCUACACCUUCGUAACUCCAAAUACCCGGAUUCGUUACUGUCCCCCCUGUAAUACUCCAACCACCCCAUGAAUCGGUUAUUCCUAAACGAGUCAUGAAGGGUAUAACGAACAUGCCUUGUCUCCACAUUGGAUCAAGAACUGGAUCGGAGGGAUCAAAAACAGCUAAUUCAUAUAGAGCCAUUGAACCGGCCCAACCCGCAACCAGGGCUGUAUGCAUUAUAUGGACAGCAAUCAAACGACCGGGAUCAUUCAAUACGACGGUAUGAACACGAUACCAAGGCAAACCCAUGGGACUACCCCUUUAUUAAUAAAAAAUAGACACUAUGUAACUUUAUUGCAUUGAAAAAAACUAUGCUAUGUACCCCUUUUUUCAGGGGAUUAUCUCGAAAAAGGGAUUAAUAUUAAUAUUUGUUCUAUUCUUUUAGUAAUAAUGGAAGAGUUCGGUUCGUAGGAAAAAAGAGAAGCAGAUCUAUUCUAUACUCGAUAAGUACCAAUACGCAAUGGGGGUUGAUUCCCUUUUCUAUGAGCGAAUGUAUCCAUAUUUGGUCAUCAUUCAAAAGACUUAUUCGUAAGAAUUUUCCUUUAUUUUAUGAACUUCGUCAAUCUAUGUAUAAACUAAGAUAACGGCCACUAGUAUUAAGACAAGAAGCCCAUUAUUACGCUUCCACAUCAAAGUGAACUAGAGUACUUAAUUCUUUUUUCUUUCAUUUUAUGCCUAUUGGUGUUCCAAAAGUACCUUAUCGAAGUCCCGGGGACAAGCAUCCAUCUUGGGUUGACAUAUAGUGCGACUUGUCAGAUCUAUUGGGUCAUAUGGGAUUUCCCCGUUCUCUCCCCCGAUCGAGAUAUCCUCUGUUUCGCCCAUAAAAUUGAUUGAAUUAUCAAAAAUUUGUAGCGUGAAAUGCAAUGAAGUGCAAUUAGAUCUAUUUCGUGAGGAAGCAUCCAGAUUAAUAUUAGCAAGAAAUCAAUUUUAUGGUCGUCUUGGCUGGACCAAUAAAAUGAGGUAUCCAGGCUCCGUUUAGAAAACCCAAUUGGUAAUAUAUCUAUGAUUAUUACUUAUAUCAUAAACGAUUCCUUUAUUCGAAAAGCGAUCUCAAACGUUAAUCAACGGAAUGCUAAAUAUGAUGAAUAUGUCAAAUAUUUGGCGGAAGACAUGAAAGAAAUGAAUUAAAAAAGGGGUAAGUCAUAGCAAAAAAGAGACGUGGUAUUGGGGGCAUUUGUCCUAUAUGUGCAAAUCAAAAUCGGGCGAAUCCUUACUCGGAGUAGAGCCUAAACCUAAAAAAAUGGAAGAAGCCCAUUCAAUUCAGGAACAAGAAAAUGGCAUCGUGAUUUUUGGAUCGGAUCUCGAUGAAAAAUACAUCAAUGAAAAGUUAGUUCGAUAAGUUUAGUGAAUUCUUUUUUAUAUUAGAAUAUUAUAGGUCUAGGAAACCGGCUAAACUCAGCGUUCUUGAAAACCGGAAGAAAAGCCCCUCGAUAGAAGCGAGGAAAAAAGAAAGGAAAGGGGCUAGGAGCUACACAUUGAUUCGUUUUUCGCAAGUUUUGUUGAACCGUAUGCAUCAAAGAUGCCUGUACGGCUCCGAAGGGAUACUGUUUUAUCCUAAUCAACCGACUUUAUCGAGAAAGAUUACUUUUUUAGGUCAAUGGUUGAGAGCGAUAUCUCGAAUCAACUUAUUGGUAUUAUGGUAUAUCUCAGUAUAGAGAACGAGACCAAGGAUUUGUAUUUAUUUAUCAACUCUCCUGGCGGAUGGGUAAUACCCGGGAUAGCAAUUUAUGAUACUAUGCAAUUUGUGCGACCCGAUGUACAGACAUAUGCAUGGGAUUGGCCGCCUCCAUGGGGUCUUUUCUCCUGGCCGCCGGAGCAAGUACCAAACGUCUAGCAUUCCCUCACGCUUGGCGCCAAUGAGUUUUUUAUUUGAGAGAAAAAAGAAGACUAUGCCUUCGCCAUAUGAAUUCUUAAUAUUAAGUAAUAAUAGCAUGGCACUUCGAAUUCGAUAUGAAAAUUGUUAGUGUUUUUUUUUCAAAAUAUUUGAUUAUGUAUCGAAGCAGUAGUAUGAGAUAAAGAAGGGGUAUUCCGAGUUUAUCUUACCUAUCGGAGGCCUAUUGCAGCGCCACACACCUUUUUCACACCGGAAGGUUCUUAACAAUUAACAAUUCACAAGAUUUAUGGUAUGAAAGAGUACGAAAAUAAAAAAAAGAAGAUUAUUUUUGAUUUAUUUCUUUUUUUAUUUUGAUUGAAAAAAAAAAAAGAAACUUUGGGAUUGCUGAAUCACAAAAGAAAUAAAUAUAUAAAGCAACGGAGCCAUCAUAGUAUUUUUGAACUCCUCAAAAAAAAAGAAGGGUGGUAAUUGGGUCAUUUACCCAUCUGGGUAUAAUAGAACCCCCUUUUUAUCCUUGUUGAUGAAGGGUAAAAAGCAAAUUCCAUUGGCGAGCCAUAUG